Molecule: long non-coding RNA, 1611 nt
Organism: Spinacia oleracea (spinach)
Lineage: Eukaryota; Viridiplantae; Streptophyta; Magnoliopsida; Caryophyllales; Amaranthaceae
Exons: 3
Source: RefSeq, a predicted model, not a curated record
AAUAAUAAGGGUAAAUUGGUAAUUUCGCAUAAUUGAAUGACAUCCCCUCCUUUCCCGAUCUUUUGUUUUUCGUUCUCUCUCUUCCUUUCUUUUUCUCUCUCCUCCUGCAAAUCCUCUCGUUCGACUUCAUGUUCAAUGUUUGAUUUUCAGGACUUCAUGUUCUUCAAUGUUGGAGUUUCGUUAUUCCUGCAAUUUUUUUCCUUUUCUUGCGAUUUUCUCUCUUUCAAUUCGCCAGGUACGUUUCAGUAAUUAUUGUGCUGACAUCUGACAUUUGAUGCGGAACCAAAGAAGACGAUUCAACAGAUUGCAAGAGGACUCAUAGGGUCUGUCAUUCACAUGAAGAUUACUAAUAGAAGCACUUCAUUUUGGAAAUAUUUGUGUUUGUUUUGUGGGUGGGAAGAUUGGGAGUGAAGGAGAACCAACUUGAUAAGUUCACCUCCAUACUGUUGGAUUUUGUGUGCUCGUACUUGCUGUGAGAUUAUUCAUUACUUCAUAAAUGUAAUGUGUUUUCUAUUCGGAGGCACUGGGGAAGCAUAGUAUUCUAUGCCUUGAGGAUUAUAUAUUUACUUUAUGCCUUAAAUAUUGGUUGAAUUGUAUGGGUAGAAGGCUUCCUGUUGAGUAUUCCUGCUAAGCAGAUUGAUUGUUUGAGGAGCGCCACAAGCCAAGAGGGGAACAUGGGAUGACUAGGCUGCCUAAGGGAGGUAGAGGCAGUAUUGCAGUAGUGGCACGCCUGCCCCCUUGCUUCAGUGUUGGGCACUUUCUCCUCGAGGCUAAUUAAAGGGUUGAUGGGUUCUUUCGGAGUUGGCAUAGAGGUUGUUGAGUGAAAUGACCAAGCAGACUGCGGUGGGAAGAGUUGUAGCUGCUGGAGUAGCGCAAUGCAAGACUGGAUGGGAGCGGGAGACUUGGUUGUUAACAAAAAAGUGCAGGGGAUGUGGUAAAUCACCUCGAUAGAUUGCAUUUCUUUUUCUGUAAUGACUGUACUCCAAAGGAAUGUGACACCAUGGCUUAUUUGCGGCUUUAGUAGGUAUAACUGCAUAAGGGACUUGAAUGAGGCUGAUUCAUCAUGGCUAACCUCUUUGCUAUUGAUACCUCAAUGUUGGUGGGCAUGACCAUCACAAAUGCAUCUAAGAGUUGCAAAUGUAUUGUUCCAUAUGGAAGCAAUAACACUAUUUUUAGGGCCAUGAAACAAUCAGAAUCAAUUAACAUAUUACUCAGGUUGCUCGCAUCAUCUUCAUUGAUCAAGACCAUAUCAGGUCUUUCCAAAGAUUGAUCAAUUAGUUUCACCACCUCAUCGAAUCGGGACAACAUGAUGAGUUUCCUUAGAAUUUCCAUCCAACAUGUGUGCAAAGGAUGCAUAGAGAAGGAUUCAAUUUUUUUGGUUUUUACUUUACUUUUAUUUAACUAGCCUACAGCUCAUUGGUACAGUAUCAAAAGAUGUGGGUUCGAAUCCCACGUAGGUUCGUCUUUACUUUUUUUUUUUUUAUUUACUUAUAAUUGAAAAACCUUUACUUUAACCUAUAUACUCCAAUCGGAGUUUUCUAGUUUUUUUUUAUCUUUAUUUACUUUUUGUAUUGUUUUAUUUACUUUUAAGUUGAAAACCUUUACUUUUGA